RNAcentral lists this ribosomal RNA (439 nucleotides) under uncultured bacterium. RNAcentral describes it as "bacterial SSU rRNA". It matches the Rfam family "Bacterial small subunit ribosomal RNA", at positions 351 to 782 of the family's 1533-position model. The record is from RNAcentral.
GCAGUGGGGAAUUUUGGACAAUGGGCGCAAGCCUGAUCCAGCAAUGCCGCGUGAGUGAAGAAGGCCUUCGGGUUGUAAAGCUCUUUUGUCAGGGAAGAAACGGAUUUUUCUAAUACAGAGAUCUAAUGACGGUACCUGAAGAAUAAGCACCGGCUAACUACGUGCCAGCAGCCGCGGUAAUACGUAGGGUGCAAGCGUUAAUCGGAAUUACUGGGCGUAAAGCGUGCGCAGGCGGUUUUGUAAGACUGUCGUGAAAUCCCCGGGCUCAACCUGGGAAUGGCGAUGGUGACUGCAAGGCUAGAGUUUGGCAGAGGGGGGUAGAAUUCCACGUGUAGCAGUGAAAUGCGUAGAUAUGUGGAGGAACACCGAUGGCGAAGGCAGCCCCCUGGGUCAAAACUGACGCUCAUGCACGAAAGCGUGGGGAGCAAACAGGAUUAGA